RNAcentral lists this unclassified non-coding RNA (535 nucleotides) under Hevea brasiliensis (rubber tree). Lineage: Eukaryota; Viridiplantae; Streptophyta; Magnoliopsida; Malpighiales; Euphorbiaceae. The record is from RNAcentral.
GUGAAAUGGUAAAGAACCUAAACAUAAAACUGGCAGCAGAAACCUAUAUCCUAAGUCAAACAUAAUGUUGGCAAGAACAAGCAUAAAGUACACAAACAUAGAUGGAAGACGCCUAUUUAAUUUACAGACGCCCUUUCCAGAAGGCAAUUAAUUUGCAUGGACUGGAAUACAGAACAUGACUCGUCAUGUCAGACAUGAAAUUUGCAGGGGACGUAAGGCUGAUGCAGAUAAAUAAAGCAUAGUCCUAUAUAGGAGGCAAAGAAGAUUGGAAAAUAAAAACAUACUUAUGCAUGACAACCAUACCAGCUACAAAUUAUUGGAAUUAGGAAUUAAUUAGAUGAAAUUUGCACAAAUAUUUAGUUGAACUUAAGAUUCAUUGAAGCAUAAGUGAAACUGUAUUCUCAAGUAGGGGUGGUGACAGGUCCGGUCCAGGCAGGAACCAGCAGUUCCGUUUCAAGGUUCACAUGGAUCAAAACCGGAAUACAAGGUCCCCUGGUUUUAAUUCCGAUUACGGUCUGGUUUUGAUUAAAUCCAA